RNAcentral lists this ribosomal RNA (591 nucleotides) under Bifidobacterium pseudolongum. RNAcentral's name for it is "bacterial SSU rRNA". It matches the Rfam family "Bacterial small subunit ribosomal RNA", at positions 105 to 697 of the family's 1533-position model. Lineage: Bacteria; Bacillati; Actinomycetota; Actinomycetes; Bifidobacteriales; Bifidobacteriaceae. The record is from RNAcentral.
GGUGAGUAAUGCGUGACCGACCUGCCCCAUGCACCGGAAUAGCUCCUGGAAACGGGUGGUAAUGCCGGAUGUUCCACAUGAGCGCAUGCGAGUGUGGGAAAGGCUUUUUGCGGCAUGGGAUGGGGUCGCGUCCUAUCAGCUUGUUGGUGGGGUAACGGCCUACCAAGGCGUUGACGGGUAGCCGGCCUGAGAGGGCGACCGGCCACAUUGGGACUGAGAUACGGCCCAGACUCCUACGGGAGGCAGCAGUGGGGAAUAUUGCACAAUGGGCGCAAGCCUGAUGCAGCGACGCCGCGUGCGGGAUGGAGGCCUUCGGGUUGUAAACCGCUUUUGUUCAAGGGCAAGGCACGGUUUCGGCCGUGUUGAGUGGAUUGUUCGAAUAAGCACCGGCUAACUACGUGCCAGCAGCCGCGGUAAUACGUAGGGUGCAAGCGUUAUCCGGAUUUAUUGGGCGUAAAGGGCUCGUAGGCGGUUCGUCGCGUCCGGUGUGAAAGUCCAUCGCUUAACGGUGGAUCCGCGCCGGGUACGGGCGGGCUUGAGUGCGGUAGGGGAGACUGGAAUUCCCGGUGUAACGGUGGAAUGUGUAGAUAU